AUGGCAGAUUAGUGCAAAGGAUUUAAAAACCUUAUAUAAAGAUAUAUUAUCUUUUAUUAAAA
Molecule: transfer RNA, 62 nt
Filed under: Harpagoxenus sublaevis
Lineage: Eukaryota; Metazoa; Arthropoda; Insecta; Hymenoptera; Formicidae
Description: tRNA-Leu
Source: RNAcentral